This 504-nucleotide ribosomal RNA is filed under the name Boophis madagascariensis (Madagascar bright-eyed frog). Its description in RNAcentral is "partial 16S ribosomal RNA". It matches the Rfam family "Bacterial large subunit ribosomal RNA", at positions 1927 to 2597 of the family's 2925-position model. The record is from RNAcentral. Lineage: Eukaryota; Metazoa; Chordata; Amphibia; Anura; Mantellidae.
CCGGCCGCGGUACCCUAACCGUGCGAAGGUAGCAUAAUCACUUGUUCUUUAAAUGAGGACUCGUAUCAACGGCAUCACGAGGAUCCUACUGUCUCCCCCCUCUAAUCGGUGAAACUGAUCUCUCCGUGAAGAAGCGGAGAUGUACAUAUAAGACGAGAAGACCCCAUGGAGCUUUAAACCCAACAACACCCGCCCCCCUCCAAAUCCUAUUAUUUACCCGGUGAUUGUUUGUUUGGUUUUAGGUUGGGGUGACCGCGGAGUAUAAGAUAUCCUCCAUGAAAAAAAGCUAACUGCCCUUAUUAGAGAAAGACACUUCCAAAAAAUAAUAAAUUAAUUUUAAAUGAUCCGACAUUCGAUCAACGAACCAAGUUACCCUGGGGAUAACAGCGCAAUCCGUCCCGAGAGCCCCUAUCGACAGGCGGGUUUACGACCUCGAUGUUGGAUCAGGGUAUCCCAGUGGUGCAGCAGCUACUAAAGGUUCGUUUGUUCAACGAUUAAAACCCU